Molecule: ribosomal RNA, 492 nt
Filed under: uncultured bacterium
Lineage: Bacteria
Description: partial 16S ribosomal RNA
Rfam family: Bacterial small subunit ribosomal RNA
Source: RNAcentral
AGUGAACGCUGGCGGUAGGCCUAUCACAUGCAAGUCGAACGGCAGCACAGUAAGAGCUUGCUCUUACGGGUGGCGAGUGGCGGACGGGUGAGGAAUACAUCGGAAUCUACUUUUUCGUGGGGGAUAACGUAGGGAAACUUACGCUAAUACCGCAUACGACCUACGGGUGAAAGCAGGGGAUCUUCGGACCUUGCGCGAUUGAAUGAGCCGAUGUCGGAUUAGCUAGUUGGCGGGGUAAAGGCCCACCAAGGCGACGAUCCGUAGCUGGUCUGAGAGGAUGAUCAGCCACACUGGAACUGAGACACGGUCCAGACUCCUACGGGAGGCAGCAGUGGGGAAUAUUGGACAAUGGGCGCAAGCCUGAUCCAGCCAUACCGCGUGGGUGAAGAAGGCCUUCGGGUUGUAAAGCCCUUUUGUUGGGAAAGAAAAGCAGCAGGUUAAUACCCCGCUGUUCCGACGGUACCCAAAGAAUAAGCACCGGCUAACUUCGUG